Molecule: ribosomal RNA, 368 nt
Filed under: uncultured organism
Description: bacterial SSU rRNA
Rfam family: Bacterial small subunit ribosomal RNA
Source: RNAcentral
CGGAGGAUCCAAGUGUUAUCCGGAUUCAUUGGGUUUAAAGGGAGCGUAGGCGGAAUGAUAAGUCAGUGGUGAAAUCUCGGAGCUUAACUCCGAAACUGCCAUUGAUACUGUCAAUCUUGAGUACAUUUGAUGAGGGCGGAAUGUGUCAUGUAGCGGUGAAAUGCUUAGAUAUGACACAGAACACCGAUUGCGAAGGCAGCUCUCAAAACUGUAACUGACGCUGAGGCACGAAAGCGUGGGUAUCAAACAGGAUUAGAUACCCUGGUAGUCCACGCUGUAAACUAUGAUUACUCGAUGUUUGCGAUAUACUGUAAGCGUCUAAGCGAAAGCGAUAAGUAAUCCACCUGGGGAGUACGCUCGCAAGAGUG